AUAAAAAUCGCCAGCUGGUAUACUUUGUUGCCAGUUUUGAAAACUUGGAGCCAACUAGCUUCUUGAUUUCCUCUACCUAAAUUGAAAUCAUUUUCAAUUUCAAUUUAACUUUCUUUCUUAUGCACUGUACAUCAUUUAACAUGAUAGACUAAGGAAGUUAUAGCAUAGGGUUUAUAUACAUGAAAAAAGGUGUACUUUUCUAUUCUUUGUCAGUAUUUCAUAAGGAUACGUAUACAAUAAAACUAUAACAAUAAAGAUAAAAACAAAGCAGCUGUUGUUCCACAAAACAGCGUAUUGCAUGUUUUUAUUUGAAUGUUUAUGUCUUCAAACAGUGACUACUGGGACUUAAAUAAUGACUAUUGAUCAAUGUUCCAGUCCUUAUACUUAGCUUAUGGUCUGUAUAUGCUUCAUAAUUAUGAUAAUAGAGAAAAUGUUUUUAAAUAAAAAAAAAAAAAAGAAUAAAAAAAAAACAAAUAUUAAAUGACUACUAGAAAAUAAUGUGUGUUUAGAUAUACAGAACAGUAAAAUAUUUGUAUCAAAAAUAAAGAAUACAGAAAAUGAUGACCCAAGGACCUAACCCAUCCUGCUACCAAGACCCUCUUAAAUUUGCCCAUAACUCAAUAGACCUCCUAAACCUAUAAAUUAUGUCAGAAGUAUGUAGACAUAUCUUGAAUUAAAAUUGAGUUAUCUUCCUUUAUUCCGGUGUACUCAUUCUUCAGAGGAUUAUAUACAGUGCGCAAUAGAAUUAAAUACGAUCAACAAUAGCGACCGGUUUUGUUUUUUUCAUAAUAAACGUCGUUGACACCUCGCUAUCGCUCGGGAUAAAAUAAUCAAUUAUAAAUGCCCAACCCAUGGUUAAAUGAAAUCAAAUCUACGGCUGCCAUGAAUUAUUUCUAAAUUCAAUGCACGACAAGCGUGUAUCAGAAUAAAGUUAUAACUGUGUUUAAUGCGAAGCUUGGCUACGUGAAAUGUUAACCUGGUGACGAAAGUUUUAAGUAGACCAAGCCUCAAGCGUAAAUCCAUACUACGCGAUACAAUGGUCCCUUUUGUUGCAUCUAAAAAGUAUGACAUCAUAUAUCAGCGUAAGAAUGGUUGAAAAAAAAAGAUUUGUACGUGAAAAUUGUAAAUAUUUUGAUUAUUAUCAAAGAAGACACUUAUCAGUAAAUUCUGGAAUUGAAACUGGUGGACUCUGUUAGGUACACACGUUGAAUGAGAAUUUAACGAAGAUUGUCAUUCAAUCAGAAUCAUCGAUGCAACAUCAUUGCAUUUGAAUAAACGGUAUACAUUUAUUUCACAAUAUAAGAUUUAUUCGAUAGACUUAAUCGGUGUGUGUUCGUUUUUAGAUAAAAAUAAUAUCUUAAUCUUUGCAAGCAAAUAACACUUUAAAUUGUGUUGUUGCAUUGUUAUUGUGGCUCAUCCAGCAUUUGAUUUUUUUAUUGAACCUUGUCAAUGAAAACAUCAACAAUCUCCAUUUCGUUACUUGCACAACCAACUAAUGCAAUCCAACAAUGCAUUCUGAUUGAUCAUGUUGUGGAUGCCUUCUAAUUCAUUUAAGUAUAUAUGUUUUUAUCUAUACCAUCACUGAUGAAUAGCUAUGUUGCUUGUGUUUCGAGUAACGAUGCGCACAUAAAUAAAACCAAUAACAAUAUUAUUCAGAUUGAUUCUAACAAUUAUCAAUUUAAUAUGGCAACAAUCUACGUUACAUGUGUUCAUAUUGUCGUAAAAGUUUUUUUAAACGUUACGCGUAUUUUUGGGCUUAAACAGUAUACAAUGUUGUUUUAAAGUAUAAGCAUGCAUGUAUUUUGGUUUCUAAUUUCAGAUAUUAGACUGCUCUUAACCAUUUAAUGACUAUUUGUAAUUAAAAACCUUUACGUAAAUAGGACAAAUAUAAUCUCUAUACCUAAACAAGUUGUCUUAUUGUUAUGAAUAUAAAUAAUUGUAUA
Molecule: long non-coding RNA, 1943 nt
Organism: Mytilus californianus (California mussel)
Lineage: Eukaryota; Metazoa; Mollusca; Bivalvia; Mytilida; Mytilidae
Exons: 2
Source: RefSeq, a predicted model, not a curated record